This 395-nucleotide ribosomal RNA is filed under the name uncultured bacterium. Its description in RNAcentral is "bacterial SSU rRNA". It matches the Rfam family "Bacterial small subunit ribosomal RNA", at positions 505 to 898 of the family's 1533-position model. The record is from RNAcentral.
GUGUCAGCAGCCGCGGUAAGACGGACCGUCCGAACGUUAUUCGGAAUUACUGGGCUUAAAGGGUGCGUAGGCGGUGCGGAAAGUUGGGUGUGAAAUCCCUUGGCUUAACCAAGGAACUGCGCCCAAAACUACCGUGCUCGAGGAAGGUAGAGGUGAGCGGAACAUCGGGUGGAGCGGUGAAAUGCGUUGAUAUCCGAUGGAACACCGGUGGCGAAAGCGGCUCACUGGACCUUUUCUGACGCUGAGGCACGAAAGCCAGGGUAGCGAACGGGAUUAGAUACCCCGGUAGUCCUGGCCGUAAACGCUGAGUACUUGACGCGAGACUCCUCCAUAGGUUUCGGGUCGUAGCGAAAGUGAUAAGUACUCCGCCUGGGGAGUAUGGCCGCAAGGCUGAA